RNAcentral lists this transfer RNA (67 nucleotides) under Ernolatia moorei. Its description in RNAcentral is "tRNA-Glu". The record is from RNAcentral. Lineage: Eukaryota; Metazoa; Arthropoda; Insecta; Lepidoptera; Bombycidae.
AUUUAUAUAGUUUAAAUUAAAAACCUUACAUUUUCAUUGUAAUAAUAAAAUCAUAUUUUUAUAAAUA